UCAGUUCCGGCUGUCUCUCGACCUUAAUAUUUGUACUAAGUAGCAGUUCUUCUCGUGCCUAUCCAUCUUGUAAAAGAAAAUAAUUGCAAUUGUUGUGCAUACAAUAGUAGAGUGAAGGUGGGAUAGAUGCUAACAUGAAAAUUCCAAGAAUUUAUCAGAACUAGAAUUAGAAUUUAGAUUAAGGUUUAAGAAAAUUGAUCAUAAAAAUUGUCCUAGAAUACCUCUGGAAUUUCCUCCUGAUGACCACUCAGGUAUUUGCCAGCAUUCCUUGGGUGAUUGCAGGGAAUAAUUCCUGUAUUGGCCACAAGAUGUCACUGAGCUCCACAGAUUGCUAGAGAGACUGGGCAAGCAGCCAAGGACGGAAAUUCAGAUAUUUUCAGUUACUGGUUUGUGUACAGCUUUCCAAGUGGCGGGAGGAUGUCUCUAAACUGGAAUGAGACCCACAGUUGGAGACUUUGGGCAGGGCGGCCUUGACACCAGGACAGGUGCUGGCAACGGACAAACUCCUUGCCGGAAGAAAGGGAAACCGCUGGACUGUGGUUUACCCUCAUUUCCUGGUAUCUUUGCUAAACUCCCUUUUCCUGCCGGCCUUGCUGAGCAAGAGAGCCCUGCUGCAGAGGUGGCAAGGGGAGGUGACAUCAGAGGCCCAACCAUCACUCCCAAGAAGAGGAGGCUCGGAAUUUUUGUCUUCAGUCCUAAGACCACAUCAUUCAGCUGGAGUAAUCCCUUCUCACUGUAACCUGCCAUGACCCCCACAGUGUUUUGUGUGAUGCUUUGCCUGCUAAGAGCAGACCUCACAGAUGCUGGAAUUACCCAGACACCUAGAUACUGGAUCACACAGACAGGAAGAAAGAUGACCCUGGAAUGCUCCCAGGAUAUGAACCACUAUUGGAUGUUCUGGUAUCGACAAGAUGCAGGACAGGGGUUGAAGCUGCUCCAUUACUCAGGAAGUGUUGGCAGCACUGACAAAGGAGAUGUCCCCGAAGGGUACAGUGUCUCCAGAAACAAGAGCGAGGAUUUCCCCCUGACGUUAGAGUUGACCAGACCCAGCCAGACCUCCGUGUACUUCUGUGCCAGCAGUGAACACAGCACUGCACAGCCAGGUGUUCCCUGCACAAGAAGCACAACCACGAGGUUGAGGGUCCCCCUUCUUCAGCCCCUGUGCCAACCAAAAGCAAGGUCUGAACUUCCUGAAGAUCUUCCUACCCGGAGGGACCUUGUGCAGCAUGAGUCUUAGUGUGAGCCAAGGGCCACUAAGUAUGUAAAUCCAAAUGAUAUUGGAUAUUACCUUUUCCAGUUUGGAGUCUUCUAGUAACUGAGUAGAGCGGAUAUCAGUUUCCAACAUGACAUUUGUAUUUUGUUUUCUUUGCAAAAGAGGAAAACAACAUAGAAAGUAUUAGAGCACUCUGAAUGUCUCAAAUCAUCUGGGAUUCUCCAAGUUCAAAGCUAGUGCAAAAUGUCAUUUUGGCCUCGAGUCUAUCAAAUCCACCGUUAUUCCUCUGCAGAAAACAGUGUUAAUGUAAGUUAAAAUUAUACAAGUCAACAGACCUCAAGCUGGAGAAUUACUGAAGAGAGAACAAACUAAGGAGCCAUGGAGACAGAACGAUGUGUUUAGUCUUACUCAGGCAGAUCCAGAUAGGAAACUAAUAGUUAAUUUCUUUGUGUUGAAUUAAAAUAUGUGAAGACGUCAAUGUUCUUCCUUGUGAAUAUCGAGUAAGCACCCUUCCCCAAGCUUGCCUCACUCCUUAGCACCUACAUGCAGGCAUC
Molecule: non-coding RNA, 1767 nt
Organism: Peromyscus leucopus (white-footed mouse)
Lineage: Eukaryota; Metazoa; Chordata; Mammalia; Rodentia; Cricetidae
Source: the annotation of a RefSeq genome assembly